RNAcentral lists this long non-coding RNA (1262 nucleotides) under Gallus gallus (chicken). Its description in RNAcentral is "lncRNA (ENSGALG00000050466.2)". The record is from RNAcentral. Lineage: Eukaryota; Metazoa; Chordata; Aves; Galliformes; Phasianidae.
AGUCUGGUCUCCACAGCCCAUACCUCCAGGCUGCACCCAGCCAGCAUAACCAUAACCAUGGAACCAUUCUCUCUUAUACUUUCCUAAAUGGACAUAUCGACUUCUGCAUGAUCAUCUGUAGACUAAGGAACCAAGGAACCAGCCAGUACAGUGCAAAGCAGCAGCAUCUCCUCUUAAGAUAAGUCAGCUCUGUCACUCAGCCCUCGUUUUUGUGAAAACUGUCAAAGAAUUUCCAAGAGUGAACUCCAGAAGGAUUGAUGCUCCCGUAUAUAUGGGCUGCUGAUUCACUUUGGAGACAUUAUCAGCUUGCCAUAAUUUGUCAUUGCAUAUUCAUUCUUGACAUUCUGAAGGUUCUGCUGAGGCUCUUAAAUGGACCUUAGGCUUGGAGGUAGUAAAAACGUCAGCAGAAGAUGGAAUGAUGGAAGUGCUGUGGCCACACUGAGGUUUCUGCACCUGCCAUGCAGUGCCUGCUCACCUGUUCCCCAGGUGGCACCCUCUUCUGCUACUCAGUAUAGGCUAUUGCUCAGAACUGACAACAGGUUUCCAUUAACAAACUAGUUUAUGUCACCAUCACUGUAGUCAAAGACGUCUUUUCUACCUCUAGAGAGCCUCCUGCUACAGAUUUAUGAUGGGAAGAGCGAUGAAGAGAGGAAACAAUCAAGUCUACAAAGCCAAAAUGGUGAAUGAGAAAUGGUAACAGAAGGCAGAAUGGAAACCUGAAGCUUCCUCAGUCUCCUUUUGCUAUGGCUUCCUGAAACGGUGCUGUGAAUGUAACAUGGAAUCAAGAUCAGAUGAACUGCCCUUAUAAAACGCAUCACUUGUUCAACCCUGGAUUCCUGAAAUGCACCUAGGCCUUAGCUGGGAAAAACAAAUACCAGGAAAAAUAGCUCUAAUGUCAUGAGGCUAUUUUAGAUCAAGACUCCUUGUUUUCUAAGCCACUUUCAUCCUGUUCCUAUAUUGUUCAUCACUUUCUUUUCUAUUGUUACAGAGAUACUGUGUGCUGACAGCAAUUGGAUCCCUUGUCUGAGUUUGAAAAAUCAAGAGUGCAACACUUUUUUUUUUAACUUCAGUAAGCACUUGUAUUUAAUACUCUGCCACUGUGAGUGAUUAAAAAGCUAGACUGAGUAAGGGGUAAAGGUACACCACCACAGACAGCAACUAUUUGGAUUUCAUUUGUCUUGUGUUUGUUCUCACCCUUUGAAUGCUGGUAUCACCAGGAGAGGAGACCUGUGUUUACAUAAAAGAAUAAAUAAGAAAUGUGC